This 252-nucleotide ribosomal RNA is filed under the name uncultured bacterium. RNAcentral's name for it is "partial 16S ribosomal RNA". It matches the Rfam family "Bacterial small subunit ribosomal RNA", at positions 524 to 776 of the family's 1533-position model. The record is from RNAcentral.
UACAGAGGGUGCGAGCGUUAAUCGGAAUUACUGGGCGUAAAGCGUGCGUAGACGGUUAUUUAAGUCGGGUGUGAAAGCCCCGGGCUCAACCUGGGAAUUGCAUUCGAGACUGAAUAGCUAGGGUACGGUAGAGGGAAGUGGAAUUUCCGGUGUAGCGGUGAAAUGCGUAGAUAUCGAGAGGAACACCUGCGGCGAAGGCGGGUUGCUGGGCCGACACUGACGCUGAUGCGCGAAAGCCAGGGAGCGAACGGG